CCCCAUCCUGGGCUUUACUCUGCACUCUAGCUAGCUCAGUCUUUUCUCUGUUCCUUAUCUAUAGACUUUGUAUCUCCUAUCUCUAGAGAUUUAAACUGGAGAGCCUGAAAUUUUCCCUUCUCACCUUGUCUUCACAGAACCACAAGACACAGCUGAAACAUCGUCUUCAUGUAAAAUCUUUCCCAAUCCCUCAGAUUCUUUCUCAUCCACCCUUAUGUUGAACUACUUGAUGAAAAACGUUGCCCUUACAUACUGUCCUCAAAUAAGCUUCUGGUCUUCCUGA
This 283-nucleotide long non-coding RNA is filed under the name Monodelphis domestica (gray short-tailed opossum). Its description in RNAcentral is "lncRNA (ENSMODG00000043038.1)". Lineage: Eukaryota; Metazoa; Chordata; Mammalia; Didelphimorphia; Didelphidae. The record is from RNAcentral.